RNAcentral lists this ribosomal RNA (326 nucleotides) under uncultured bacterium. RNAcentral's name for it is "bacterial SSU rRNA". It matches the Rfam family "Bacterial small subunit ribosomal RNA", at positions 28 to 334 of the family's 1533-position model. The record is from RNAcentral.
GGCGAACGCUGGCGGCGUGCAUAACACAUGCAAGUCGAACGAUGAAGAAGAGAAUGGAGACUUCGGUCAAAGUUCGCUUCGGAUUAGUGGCAGACGGGUGAGUAACGCGUGAGCAACCUACCUCUUACAAAGGGAUAGCCAUGGGAAACCGUGAUUAAUACCAUAUGAUACAAUAACAAGGCACCUUGAGAUUGUUGAAGCUCCGGCGGUAAGGGAUGGGCUCGCGUCCCAUUAGCUAGUUGGUGAGGGUAACGGCCCACCAAGGCGACGAUGGGUAACCGGCCUGAGAGGGUGAACGGUCACACUGGAACUGAGACACGGUCCAA